This 906-nucleotide long non-coding RNA is filed under the name Homo sapiens (human). RNAcentral's name for it is "HSALNT0069027". Lineage: Eukaryota; Metazoa; Chordata; Mammalia; Primates; Hominidae. The record is from RNAcentral.
GGGGCGUCCGCAACCACAGCGCGCAGGGCAGGCGCGAGCUGGCCUCUGAGCCCCGGCCUCGGACCGCCCACUCCACUCCCGGCACGCCCGGUGCCGCCUUCCGGCUCCAGUCCCCGGGCUCGGCCUCGGCGAGGUGUAAUUCGCAGCGCGGGCCGGCCCCGGAGGCUCUCGGCGAGCGCGGCGCGGUAACAAGUGGGCGAGGAUGCCGUACGAGAUCAAGAAGGUGUUCGCCAGCCUCCCGCAGGUGGAGAGGGGCGUCUCCAAGAUCAUCGGCGGCGACCCUAAGGGCAACAAUUUUCUGUACACCAAUGGAAAGUGCGUCAUCCUAAGGAACAUCGACGUUCACUGUGGGCCAGGAGCUGAGAUACCAGUGGCAAGCCUUGAGACCCAAGCCCCAGGACCCAGGGUCAUCACAGCCUACCUGUAAAUUGGAGUAGUGACCUCUGGCCCCUCCGUCACCCACCUGAGACUGGGAGGACAUAGGAAAAACCCAGCCCUUGCUGACAUCUACACAGAGCACGCCCAUCAGGUGGUGGUGGCCAAGUAUGCGCCCAGCGGAUUCUACAUUGCCUCCGGAGAUGUGUCUGGGAAGCUGAGGAUCUGGGAUACCACGCAGAAGGAGCACCUGUUGAAGUAUGAGUACCAGCCUUUCGCUGGGAAGAUCAAAGACAUUGCUUGGACUGAAGACAGUAAGAGGAUCGCCGUGGUCGGGGAAGGAAGGGAGAAGUUUGGAGCAGUCUUCCUCUGGGAUAGUGGCUCUUCUGUGGGCGAGAUUACAGGACACAACAAAGUCAUCAACAGCGUGGACAUCAAGCAGAGCCGGCCAUACCGGCUGGCCACGGGAAGCGAUGAUAACUGCGCGGCAUUCUUUGAGGGACCCCCAUUCAAGUUCAAGUUCACAAUUGG